UUGAGUAGUGGUGAGAACUGGGAUGAC
This 27-nucleotide non-coding RNA is filed under the name Cricetulus griseus (Chinese hamster). The record is from RNAcentral. Lineage: Eukaryota; Metazoa; Chordata; Mammalia; Rodentia; Cricetidae.